UGGGGAAUAUUGCACAAUGGAGGGAACUCUGAUGCAGCGACGCCGCGUGAACGAAGAAGGCUUUCGAGUCGUAAAGUUCUUUUAUAUGGGAAGAUAAUGACGGUACCAUAAGAAAAAGCCCCGGCUAACUACGUGCCAGCAGCCGCGGUAAUACGUAGGGGGCUAGCGUUGUCCGGAAUCUCUGGGCGUAAAGGGUUCGCAGGCGGAAAUGCAAGUCAGGUGUAAAAGGCAGUAGCUUAACUACUGUAAGCAUUUGAAACUGCAUAUCUUGAGAAGAGUAGAGGUAAGUGGAAUUUUUAGUGUAGCGGUGAAAUGCGUAGAUAUUAAAAAGAAUACCGGUGGCGAAGGCGACUUACUGGGCUCAUUCUGACGCUGAGGAACGAAAGCGUGGGUAGCAAACAGG
This 403-nucleotide ribosomal RNA is filed under the name Fusobacteriota bacterium. Its description in RNAcentral is "Fusobacteria bacterium partial 16S ribosomal RNA". It matches the Rfam family "Bacterial small subunit ribosomal RNA", at positions 355 to 776 of the family's 1533-position model. The record is from RNAcentral. Lineage: Bacteria; Fusobacteriati; Fusobacteriota.